Molecule: ribosomal RNA, 592 nt
Filed under: uncultured bacterium
Lineage: Bacteria
Description: bacterial SSU rRNA
Rfam family: Bacterial small subunit ribosomal RNA
Source: RNAcentral
CCUACGGGAGGCAGCAGUGGGGAAUAUUGCGCAAUGGGCGAAAGCCUGACGCAGCGACGCCGCGUGUGGGAUGACGGCCUUCGGGUUGUAAACCACUGUCGCGAGGGACGAAGAUCUGACGGUACCUCGAAAGGAAGCACCGGCUAACUCUGUGCCAGCAGCCGCGGUAAUACAGAGGGUGCGAGCGUUGUCCGGAAUCACUGGGCGUAAAGGGCGCGUAGGUGGCCUGGUAAGUAGGGGGUGAAAUCUCGAGGCUCAACUUCGAGGCUGCCUUCUAAACUGUCAGGCUUGAGCAGAGUAGAGGCAGGUGGAAUUCCCGGUGUAGCGGUGGAAUGCGUAGAGAUCGGGAAGAACAUCGGUGGCGAAGGCGGCCUGCUGGGCUCUUGCUGACACUGAUGCGCGACAGCGUGGGGAGCAAACAGGAUUAGAUACCCUGGUAGUCCACGCCGUAAACGAUGGGUACUAGGCGCCGGGGGGAGCGACCCCUUCGGUGCCGUCGCUAACGCAAUAAGUACCCGCCUGGGGAGUACGGCCGCAAGGCUGAAACUCAAAGAUAGACGGCGNGNGAGACGACGACGACGACGAGGAGAGG